This 253-nucleotide ribosomal RNA is filed under the name uncultured bacterium. RNAcentral's name for it is "partial 16S ribosomal RNA". It matches the Rfam family "Bacterial small subunit ribosomal RNA", at positions 524 to 776 of the family's 1533-position model. The record is from RNAcentral.
UACGUAGGUGGCGAGCGUUGUCCGGAAUUACUGGGCGUAAAGGGUGCGUAGGUGGUAUUUUAAGUCAGAUGUGAAACUCCCGGGCUCAACCUGGGAACUGCAUUUGAAACUGGGAUACUAGAGUGCAGGAGAGGAAAGCGGAAUUCCUAGUGUAGCGGUGAAAUGCGUAGAUAUUAGGAAGAACACCAGUGGCGAAGGCGGCUUUCUGGACUGUAACUGACACUGAGGCACGAAAGCGUGGGGAGCAAACAGG